GGGGAUAUAGCUUAGUAGUAGAGCUCUGGCCUAGGAUGAGCAAGGUCCUGGGUUCAAUCCCCAGCACCACCA
RNAcentral lists this transfer RNA (72 nucleotides) under Urocitellus parryii (Arctic ground squirrel). RNAcentral's name for it is "Spermophilus parryii (Arctic ground squirrel) tRNA". It matches the Rfam family "tRNA". Rfam says of the family: Transfer RNA (tRNA) molecules are approximately 80 nucleotides in length. Their secondary structure includes four short double-helical elements and three loops (D, anti-codon, and T loops). RNAcentral also lists the same sequence under 2 other names. The record is from Rfam by way of RNAcentral. Lineage: Eukaryota; Metazoa; Chordata; Mammalia; Rodentia; Sciuridae.